RNAcentral lists this ribosomal RNA (506 nucleotides) under Thysanoteuthis rhombus. RNAcentral's name for it is "partial 16S ribosomal RNA". The record is from RNAcentral. Lineage: Eukaryota; Metazoa; Mollusca; Cephalopoda; Oegopsida; Thysanoteuthidae.
GAUUUACUCGUUAAGGGUGUGUUAACGUAGCAUAGUUAUACAUUGAUUAUCGAGUGGUAAUGAUAUGUUUAUCGAUUUUCAUGAUAGCUAGUUUAUUGAUGUAAAAUAUUUAAGUAUUGUAGUGCUAAUAGCAAAUAUGAAAUGUUUUAGCAUUAGCUUAUUAUAUGGGGGAUAAGCUUCAUAUAAAAUUACAGAGCUCAUUAAUUUUUAUUCAUUGUUGUGAUUUAAGUAGAAUUAAUAAUGUUUUUCUUUAAAAGUAGUUUAAAUCGUGAGUUGUGGUUAAGGCUCGUGUGAUCUAGUCAAUAAAUUUUUAUUAAUUAAUUUAUAAAUAAAUAUAAUGUUAGUAUGAGUAUUAGUUUAUUAGUUUUGAUAAUUUUUGAGGACGCUAUAGCUGUAAAUAGUUAUUGUUGACGGCAAGUUAUUUAAGUGAGGUAAAGGAAUUCGGCAAAUAUUAAUCUCGCCUGUUUAUCAAAAACAUGUCUCUUUGUUGAUACUUAGAUGAAGAG